This 538-nucleotide long non-coding RNA is filed under the name Mytilus galloprovincialis (Mediterranean mussel). The record is from RNAcentral. Lineage: Eukaryota; Metazoa; Mollusca; Bivalvia; Mytilida; Mytilidae.
CUGGGCUACCAGCUUGGGUUUCCCAAGUUUUAUCCCUGUGUAGGGUGCAAACGUGUACUGUAGGGUGCGAAAGUGAAAGGGGGUGAACGUGAAUCAAAAAAGUGGUUUUUCAAAUGAUUUGGUCCCAUCCAUACACAAAAUUCAAAAAGCAUUAUUGAUUUUAAUUGAUAUCCUUGAUACUAUAUUAAUAUGCAUACUACGAUACUACUUCAAAGGAAAAAUACAAACCCAAACUCUUCCAAAACGUUGACCGACAUGUCAGAUUCCACAUCUGCCUCGUUGGUUAUAAUGCGGCUGAUGCCAACAUCUUCCGGUAACUCCUUGGACAACAUGACCCCGAUUGUCUCAUCUCUAUUACACUUAACAAAUUUGAGUGAACACGAACUUCUCUCUAGUGAUCGCACUUCAAGUUUAAUGUAAAAAAACUGUCCCUUCCCGGAAGUCGCCAUUUUGUUUGACCAUGCGACAAGAGAUAAAUUAAAAAUCGCAGACCCGUACUCGUACUUUUUUUUUUUGAGGAUUUCGUAACAGUCGGCGG